This 1929-nucleotide unclassified non-coding RNA is filed under the name Hevea brasiliensis (rubber tree). Lineage: Eukaryota; Viridiplantae; Streptophyta; Magnoliopsida; Malpighiales; Euphorbiaceae. The record is from RNAcentral.
GUGAGCAUUGUUGAACGAGGAUAAUAAUAAAAGAAAAAUCUGGGCUUUAAUCAAAACGCCGGUGGCCACAUAAAACGACGUGGAUCGGUGCCAUACGAUACGUAUGACCUUUGACGCAUCCAUAUUGAACCUUCCACAGCAAGGUUGAAGGUUGUGAAGGAAUGGAAGUGUCUUGAAACAGUACAGAGACUGAGAUUCCCACUCUAGUUUCGCCAUGAUUGCGUGCUAUUGCUCUCUGGUUCAACUCUCUUCUCCUAUUCACGGGCGAUGUUUACCGAGGAGUCCAAACCCUGGCAAACCGAGUUUCCCCCUUACUUUCACUACGCACACUACGAAUUCGUCCAGAUUCAUCACCAGAGUUCUCCAACAAGGAGUUGAAGUUGUAUCCCCUGAGAAUGUUUCCUUGCCAAGUCCAGUAAUCGAUACGAAAGAGGAUAAAGAGGUCAAUGGCCUCGUUCCUGGAGGCACCGUAUCAGAAGAUAAGACCUUAGUUUCUUCAACCAGAGUUAAGAAGAAGAGACCAGACGAAGAUAGUUUCGAGAAUAGAUUCAAGCUUCGAAAUGGAAGGGAGGUAUUUGAAGAAAAAGCCUACCUCGUGGGUGUUGAGCAGAAAGGUGUUAAAGUGAAUUCUUUUGGUAUUGAGGAAUCGCUUAAGGAAUUGGCUCAGCUUGCUGAUACUGCUGGCCUGAUGGUUGUUGGCUCCACUUAUCAAAAACUGAGUACUCCAAACCCAAGGACAUAUAUUGGAUCUGGGAAAGUUGCAGAAAUUAAGAGUGCAAUACAUGCAAUGGAUAUUGAGACUGUCAUAUUUGAUGAUGAGCUUUCUCCAGGGCAACUGCGCAACUUGGAAAAGACUUUUGGUGGAGAUGUUAGAGUAUGCGAUCGCACUGCCCUUAUCCUGGAUAUCUUUGACCAGCGAGCAGCAACACAUGAAGCAUCUUUGCAGGUUGCAUUGGCACAAAUGGAAUACCAGUUACCUCGAUUAACUAAAAUGUGGACUCAUCUUGAGCGCCAAGCAGGAGGAAAGGUCAAGGGUAUGGGUGAGAAACAAAUUGAAGUGGACAAGCGUAUCCUACGCACUCAAAUUGGUGUUCUUAAAAAAGAGCUAGAAUCUGUUAGAAAACAUAGAAAGCAGUACAGGAACAGACGUGUUUCUGUACCUGUCCCUGUAGUAUCUUUGGUUGGCUAUACAAAUGCUGGAAAGAGCACACUUUUAAAUCAGUUGACUGGAGCUGAUGUUCUUGCUGAAGAUCGUUUAUUUGCGACCCUUGAUCCAACCACAAGAAGGGUUCAGAUGAAGAAUGGGAAUGAGUUUCUUCUCACAGAUACUGUUGGUUUCAUCCAGAAGUUGCCAACUACACUGGUUGCUGCCUUCAGAGCAACAUUGGAGGAGAUAUCAGAAUCAUCGCUUUUGGUUCAUGUGGUAGACAUCAGUCAUCCACUAGCAGAGCAACAGAUAGAUGCAGUGGACAGAGUUCUGUCAGAACUGGAUGUGUCAUCAAUUCCAAAGUUGAUGGUUUGGAAUAAGGUUGAUAGGGUUGGUGAUCCUGCAAAAAUAAAAUUGGAAGCAGAGAAAAGGCAAGAUAUUGUUUGCAUAUCUGCUUUAAAUGGUGAUGGCCUGCAAGAUUUCUGCAUUGCAGUUCAGGAAAUAUUGAAGGAUUCUAUGGUAUGGGUGGAAGCUUUGAUCCCAUUUGAGAAAGGCGAUCUUCUCAGUACCAUUCACCAGGUUGGAAUGGUAGAUAGAACUGAAUAUGUGGAGAAUGGGACAUUGGUCAAGGCAUAUGUCCCUCUUCGUUUUGCAAGACUGCUCACUCCUAUGAGACAGCUUUGUAAAGCUUAACUUCUAACCAUAUGUGUGGACCAUUCUUCAUCUUGUAUGUAUGCAUUUACGUAUCAUCUAGCUGGCAAAAAUCCUUUUUUUUUUUUCCU